Oenanthe melanoleuca is the source of this 1953-nucleotide long non-coding RNA. RefSeq lists it as uncharacterized. Lineage: Eukaryota; Metazoa; Chordata; Aves; Passeriformes; Muscicapidae. The transcript is spliced from 3 exons. The record is from RefSeq and is a predicted model, not a curated record.
AAAAGAGCAGAAAUGAACCCGAGCAGAGGGAGCUGCCCAGCCUGGCUGAGCAGGCUGAGGCUGUCCAUGGCUGGCUCUGCCCACCCACAGAGUGUGUGCAGGUCAGACACAGCUCUGAAGAGACAAAUUGUCUGUGCUCUUCAACAGAAAACAAAAGUGGAGCUUCGAGCUGAACUGGCGCUAUUUAAUCUUGCAUAGCCCACAAACAAAAACCUAAGCAGAGGACCAAGUGAAUCAACAAAAGGUUCUGUAGUUUCCAAGAGGAACAGUAAUUCCAGAGUGGAAAAUUAUUACUAUUCCAUCCCUUUACAGACCAGUGGGUAAAUUUUCUCAUGUUUGAGUACUUGAAUUAACAAUAAGUGACACUCUGGUUUGGAUCUUGACUUCCAGCUGCAACUGCCAUGGAGUUCACACUCUUCUUCCCACUGACUGCACUGGUGGAAAAAAAGUGCUUCUUGGGAAAAUAAUAAAAUGACCCAGCUUCCAACAAUCUUUGCAAAACAAACAUUGAGAAAAGUAUUUAAGAUAGAUCGAAACAUUUGGGUUUGACUUUUAUGGGGUUGCUUCUACCACAUAUUUAUCUUACAAAACUAUUUUGAAGUGGAUUGCUAAAGGAAAACAAAACUGGCUUUGUUCUGAAAAUGCUUAAACAGCCUCUCUUAGAUAGAGGCUUGCUGGACUUUAUAAAGGUUUUGCCCUGAAGUGAAAUCUAAGUAAAAUCCAUCAUUCAGAAGCUGUUUUGCAUUUCAGUGGACUCAGGUUUUCUGGUGUAAAAUCUUUCCAGCUUUCUUUGGCCAGCCCUAUUGAAAGCUGUCAGUGGUGAUACCUGAUGCCAGCAGUGGCCUUGUGAGGCUGUGAAGGGAGCUCUAAGAAGUGCUUAUCAAUGCAUUACCACUGCUUCAGAAAAAGAUUUACUGCUUUACCUUCAACACAGUAAUGGGGACAUCUUGCUGUGUCAACAUGGUAUGUUUUGUUCAUUUAACACCAUUUGCUAAAGAAAAGCAAUUCUGAAUUCUGCAAGUGGAGUAAUUCUUAAGUCUUUUCACCCUUGAGCAGGCUUGCAGUGGACAUAACAGGUUUUUUCCCUCCUAUUGUUUUCCAAGCUGCAGUCACAAGCGGUACCCAAGCAAUAUUUCCAAAGGCUGGGUUGGGGUCUGGAGCAGUGAGUCUCAUUUCCAGUGGGUCUCAAGGCAGGUGUUAACACUGGGAUAUUGCCCAUGUCCCAGCACAUUACAGCUCUGUGCUGUAUGGGGUGGGGUUGUUUUUUAAAAAAAGACUCUGCUUAUGUGUUUCUUGAAAACUGUGAAUUGUUUCUCAGUUUGUAGUGAUAACUAUCCUUCCCUCUCCCUCUGCUUUUAAUCCUUGAACAUGUAGAUGUAAAUUAUUGAUUUUGCAGCAUCUUAAAACAAAACUCUUCAUUUCAUGACAGUGCAGCACACCUCUCCUGUGGGGCAAAAUCUGCAGAACCACCAUUCCACAGUGAUCCAAGAGAGGCCUGAUUUUUCCCUGAUAACAGGACUUGUUCUAACAUUUUUUAGCUCUUUUAAGGUUGGGGGUUUUUUCAUUAAAUAUGGAUAUUUUAUCAACCUCUUCCCUUUUUUAAUAUGUAUUAAAGUUUUGAAUGAAAAUAAUAAUUUCUUAGAAAACACCCAGAGAAUUAUUGAGGCGAAUGGCAAAACCAAUAAAGGCAGUGUGCUAGGGAGCUCUAGUAAAUAAGCAUCUUAUAAGCAUGAUGAUCAGUGGAGGAAGGUUUGGGAUCACUGCCUCUAAUUUCAGCCCCUGUGUGUUCCCUGUCCAACAGACUCACCUUCUGUCAUUACUGAGAAAUGGUUGUGCCAUCAUCAUUUUUUCUUCUGCAGGUUUCUCCUAUUCCUGGAGCCUGCUUGGCUUCACACCUCCCAGUGUGUGCACACCACAUAAAACAAGCUUGGCACCGUGAGUGCAACUCCAGAC